Molecule: ribosomal RNA, 253 nt
Filed under: uncultured bacterium
Lineage: Bacteria
Description: partial 16S ribosomal RNA
Rfam family: Bacterial small subunit ribosomal RNA
Source: RNAcentral
UACAGAGGGUGCAAGCGUUAAUCGGAAUUACUGGGCGUAAAGGGCGCGUAGGCGGUCCGAUAAGUCCCGUGUGAAAGCCCCCGGCUCAACUGGGGAACUGCACGGGAAACUGACGGACUUGAGUUCGGGAGAGGGAAGCGGAAUUCCGGGUGUAGCGGUGAAAUUCGUAGAUAUCGGGAGGAACACCGGUGGCGAAGGCGGCGACCUGGGACAAUACUGACACUGAGGUGCGAAAGCGUGGGGAGCAAACAGG